GACAGAGGGUGCAAACGUUGUUCGGAAUUACUGGGCGUAAAGCGCGUGUAGGCGGCUUUGCAAGUCGGGCGUGAAAUCCCAUGGCUCAACCAUGGAAGUGCACUCGAAACUGCAGAGCUAGAGUCCUGGAGGAGGAAGGUGGAAUGCUUGGUGUAGAGGUGAAAUUCGUAGAUAUCAAGCGGAACACCGGUGGCGAAGGCGGCCUUCUGGACAGUGACUGACGCUGAGACGCGAAAGCGUGGGGAGCAAACAGG
Molecule: ribosomal RNA, 254 nt
Filed under: uncultured bacterium
Lineage: Bacteria
Description: partial 16S ribosomal RNA
Rfam family: Bacterial small subunit ribosomal RNA
Source: RNAcentral